Molecule: ribosomal RNA, 406 nt
Filed under: uncultured bacterium
Lineage: Bacteria
Description: bacterial SSU rRNA
Rfam family: Bacterial small subunit ribosomal RNA
Source: RNAcentral
UGGGGAAUCUUGCGCAAUGGGCGAAAGCCUGACGCAGCAACGCCGCGUGCGGGAUGAAGGCCUUCGUGGUUGUAAACCGCUUUCAGCAGGGACGAAAAUGACGGUACCUGCAGAAGAAGCCCCGGCUAACUACGUGCCAGCAGCCGCGGUAAUACGUAGGGGGCGAGCGUUGUCCGGAAUCAUUGGGCGUAAAGAGCUCGUAGGCGGUUCAGUAAGUCAGGUGUGAAAGCUCCGAGCUCAACUCGGAGAGGCCACCUGAUACUGCUGUGACUAGAAUCCAGUAGGGGAGUGUGGAACUCCUGGUGUAGCGGUGAAAUGCGCAGAUAUCAGGAAGAACACCAGCGGCGAAGGCGGCACUCUGGGCUGGAAUUGACGCUGAGGAGCGAAAGUGUGGGUAGCAAACAGG